AAAAUGAACAACAAGCAAAGAUUUCAUUGUGUGCUGUCCAGGAUGAGAAAUGCCUUCAUUUGCAUCUGCACUUAAACCGACUAAACCAUUCCCAAAUCUUGGAUGGUGAGUAAACUGCUGGAAUGGAAGGGUUGAGGCACAAUAAAUCUGUUUCCCACAUAGAUCUUGAUGUGCAUCACAGUAUGCUCAGAAAUAAAGAUCGCAGGUGUGGGAAUAAGUAUGUUGUAUUUGUAAAUGCAAACUGAAAGUUAAUACUGAGUUUCUUGCACUUCUGGUGAACGCUGCAAAAGUAAUUUUCGCAUAUCAGAAUUAGAUAUAAGGAACAGUAGUCAAAUACGUUGCACAACUUAGUAAAUUUGUUCAAAUGAAGUCUCCAGACUAAAACAGGAAACGAAAUUUAAAGCACCGAUCUGCCAUUAACGUGACAUGAACUUGCUCUAUUCAUCUGAAGUUCUGAACCACUCCUUUCCAAUGUGAUGCAACUUUCAAACAUUUUUAAACUCAUCUUUGCUAUUUACAUAUCACACAAGUUAAGUCCAGGCUUCACAUUCAUCUAGUGGAUUGCACUUUAAGGAAUCACAGACACUUAUCGAAGGGGGAAAGAGAACAUACCUAUCCUCAUGAGAAAUUCGAGAACCAAGAGAUCAUGGAAAAGUUUGCACAAAAGUCGAGAUCUUAACAAAAAAGCCUGCAGUGGCAUGUCCCUUCGACCCUACAAUGAGAAGCAGACUCACGUCCAAGGUCCCUUCAGCAACUUCUCCUAGACUUACUGGUAAGGCGAUGGUGAAGGAAGGGUAAAUAGACCUUUCCAUAGGUCACUGAGUAAAUUCACCAAUUGAACUCCAAUGAAAUCUGCAACGCAAACAAGACUGAGAGAAUAUUGGCGAAUGAGACAGAGCACAGCGAUAACAAACGAAUUGAAUGAGCAUACAACAAACAGCUAGUGUGCGAAAAAUAACCUGAGAAAUCCAAAUUCAAACNNNNNNNNNNNNNNNNNNNNNNNNNNNNNNNNNNNNNNNNNNNNNNNNNNNNNNNNNNNNNNNNNNNNNNNNNNNNNNNNNNNNNNNNNNNNNNNNNNNNAAUCUGGGUAGACUUCAAGUAGGAGAGUAGAGCAGGAGAAGGAAACGGCGGCAUGAUUCCUGAUUUUGACGAGAGCAAAUGCACGUCCGGAGUCAUGUCGCGAGAAUGACUUUGGAAGAAGGCAUUCAGACAAUUCCAACGCCAUCUCCGGAGGAACCGUAGAGGGUUCAUCGCACCCACCACGAUCACAGCUACUAAGCAGAGAGGGCACCAAAGCGAACAAUCCCUCAAGUAAUAUUCGAGUCCAAAUCCUUUUAAGUAAUUGGCAUGCAAUUCAACCUAAUUUCUGGGAUUUCGCGGAUGAGGGGCCAAUAGCAGCCGGUCCCUUUCUUGCAUCGCUCCUCCAGAAUCUCACAAAUUUCGAUACGGAGUCGUAAUAGGGAGGGAGGGAGGUCAUCCAGAGGCAACUCCCUCAGCUUCGGGCAAUUCUGGAUAGUUAAGCUCUGGAGAGACGAAGGGAGAUUGCUAGACAGUCUUUCCACGUUUUCCAUAUUAAUGAUCCACAGACGGUGCAAAGAGGGAAGGGGUGGAAGCGCAAGAUCCUCCUCCUUCCCCACUCCUCCAGUGUAGCCGUCGAUCCACAGAUCUUGAAGGGAGGUGAGGGGGGUAAGCCACUCCUCAACCGGCUGCUUCAUAUUCCCGCGUAUCUUUACCCAGAGUACUCGUAGCUGGGGUGGCAAUCCUCCGUCGGGAAACGGCAUAACGUCACAACUAAAAUCAUGGAGACAUGUGAGUUGAUUCAACUGAUUAGGUAACGCUUUUAUAUUCGGACAAUCCUCAAGAUAAAAAGUCGAGAUGCUUGGAGGAAGAGGAGGAAAGCACUCUAGCUCCAGAGCAGGACAGCUUCUCAAUUUCAAGGAAGUGAGAUGGGACAGUGUGUGCAGGCCUUGAGGUAAGCUUCUCAAAUUUUUGCAAUUCCAAAUUUCAAUCACUUGAAGUGACUGACGACCAUCUAGAAUUAUCUCCGCGAGCGACUUCACUCCCGGGCACCCAUCAAUUACAAGUCUCUUGAGGGUCACAGGUAAAAAUCUACCCUCACUAAAUGGAAAUGCUAGUAGAGACUUGCAUCCGUAGAUUAUUAAUUCUUGUAGACAAGACGUCAUGCCAACAUGGUUAAUGCUGCUGCUUGGUCCUUCCAGAUGAAUACUUAAUCCAGUGGGUAGAGAUUGUGACAUAUCAUAGCCACUGAUAUUUGAUGAUAUCAUUGAUGUCCAUAUGCCUGUUUCUAGAAAGGACACCAGUUUUGGACAGCAAUUGAUUUGCAAGUAUCUAAGAGAGGAGAGGGUGUGCAUCUUGCUUGGGAGCUUCUCUAAAUUGAGGCAAUAUCGCAAGUGGAUAGUUUCAAGUCUGCUGGGCAGCUUUAUAUCUCCUUCUCCAACCACAAAAGACAUUAAUUUAGGACAAUCCCAUACAUAUAAGCUUUUUAGACAACCAAGCUUCUCAACUACAUCUCUGUCUUCCCACAAGAACAUUAACUUGUUACAAUCUCUCAUCUCCAACUUCUCUAGUUUGAUCAAGAAGCUUGUAAACUCACGAUUUAAGCAAGUCAAUUCAGCAGUUUUUUUUAUGACAAGAGUGGUUAGAGAUGUCAGGUUUACCAAACUCUUCAACACCCCCUCAUUACAACCUUCAAAUUCUAACUCAUUGAGAGAUGGAAGGCUAAUAAUGUCAGAGUGCGAGGCAUCCAUACGCGGACAGGAGUUUAUUUCAAGCUUUAUGAGGGAGCUUAGUUCACUAGGCAAUCUUUUUAUCAACAUAGGACAAUCCCAAAGAAUGAGAUGCUCAAGACUGGGGAAUACAACUCCUCCUUCAGAGCCAACACAAUGAGACCAGUCCUCCCACAAUGGCAUGUUCCUAAAUUCCAAAGUUGUCAAGGAUGGAAAAGGACUUUCGGCUCCAUAAAAUUCAAAACCUAUCCUACGAAUCGCAUCUAGACCUUCGAUGUGCAGUUCUUUCAGCAAAGAUAGCCGCCCAAGUGAUGGUAAUGCUUUGGCCCUACGACACUCGUGUAAAUGUAAAUGCACUAUGUGAACAUGUGAGGGAUUUCCUAACCACGACGUUAAUUCUAUGCCACCAUAGAAGGAUAUCACGAGAUUUUCAACGUUUUGGUGUGGCUGAAGAAAGUCAAGGACCUUUGCUUCAAGCUCUUCAUCCCGGGAAUUUUCAAAAUCUUUACUCCACUGCAAGGUCAACCGACAUAUUCCCUCCUUUGUGAGUAAAUCGACGUCCUUGGCAUCUCCGGCGUCUUGAACCUUAUGCAAAUCAAAGAUGCACAAUUCCUCUCGAAGGUUCUUUAGUUUUUUUAACUCCUUCAACCUCAACUCAGUUUCCGUUCCCACUAUAAACUUGGACAGCAUCUCAAGACCCACCAAAUUAGCUAUAUACAGUGGCACCGCUCUUAGGCUCGGAGUGUCGGUAAUGUCGAGAAAUCUUAUGUUGAUAAGUUUCUCCAUAUCUUCAGGUAAUUCGAUAAGACUUUCACAGCCUCGCAACAUCAAAGUCUCGAGGUUAUACAGUCCAACAAUUGACUUUGGAAGCCUUGCAAUAUUAGUAUAUGAUAGAUUAAGGUGCCUUAGGUGCCUUACAUCACCAAUGCAAUCUGGUACCUCGCUGAUGUUGUAGUGACUUAAUGAAAGCACCCUCAAGUACUUCAAUUUUGACAGCAAGUCACAUAGCACUUUCUGGGACAAAAAGGACCUCUCCCAAGGGUGAGAAGGGUUAGAAUGCUUCCCUAAUGAUAUGAAGCUCCUAAGUCUCUUCAUUUGAUGAUAUAUUUUGAAUCUUUCUGGCACGAUGUGACGACUAGGAAUGAACGAGGCGUGACGGACUAAAGAUGCAUUAUUUUGAUCACCUUCAAACUCAAACUCGCUUGGGCCAUAAUGGGUUGCACCUGCAACUAGCUUUGCUAGGUCAUUCACAAGAUCAUGCAUCAAAAAUCGUGAUCCAUCACUACUCGACUUUUGAAAUAACGAUCUAGAUUCUAGCUCGUUGAAAUAAUUCAAACCUAAAUUCCAACGGUUCUUUCCUCCUUUUCCCUCCAAUAAGCCCUCUGCACUCCACCAAUGAAUCAACUCAUCAUGUUUGAUUUCAUAAUCCUUGGGAAAUAUAGCACAGUACGCGAAACAUCUCCUCAAAUGAGAAGGGAGAUGGAGGUAGCUAAGUUUCAAAGCUGGAAGGAUGUCAUUUCUUCCUUCUGAUAGAUUCCAAAUCUUGCUGUUCAAUAUAUCUUCCCAAUCACGGGGAUUGACUUUAGUGCGUAGCAGCCCGGCCACUGUCUUCACGGCUAAUGGCAAUCCUUUGCAUUUUUCCACUAUUUGGUGACCUAAUGCUUCAAAGCGAGGAUGGUGAUUUGAAUUUCGAAUUCCAAAAGCAUGAAAUGCGAACAAAGUCAUGCAAUCAUCUAAUGACAUUAGUUUGAGAGUUAUCAGUCGAGCAUCGGCCAUUAAAGCAACCUUGCGGUUACGAGUCGUGACAAUGAUCUUGUUUCCUUUUACUCCCGAUUCGAAAGGCUUCAAAAGGACAAUCCAUUCUCCAUAAUUCUCGUUCCAAACAUCGUCUAAAAUGAAAAGAAACUUCUUCCCUGAAAGGAUUUCCUUGAGCUUUUCCUGACACCAAUCCAGGUCUUUAUCUUGACAGGACAAAGUGGAGUUGGUUUUUUGUAGGAUACACUUUGUAAUAGCAUGCACGUCAAAAUCAUCAGAAACACAAACCCAUACUUUCACAUCGAAAUAGUGGGUCACUCCAGCAUCAUUGUAGAUCUGCUGAGCUAGAGUCGUCUUCCCAACACCCCCCAUCCCUACGAUGGCAAUCACUUCUAGAUCCGCACAUGUUCUAUCAUCUUCUUCUCUAACCAGUAAUUUGAGGAUCUCCCUCUUUUCAUCCUCCCUACUAACGAAACAGGGCUCGCGCAGAUUCGUAGUGGGAAUCGGCUUAUCUAACUGGCGGUAUGCUAAUCGCUCCCCCUCGUUCUUUCUCAGGCCCAGACCAUUUUUACGAGCUAUGAUCUCCCCUAAUCGGGCAUCCAGUUCCACCAUCUCAGAUCUCAUUUUAUGGUUGAACAUCAAUGCUCUUGGGCUCAUUGUGAAGCAACAACUGGGAAGAAGGGAAUGCACCUUGCUAGUGCCAAAUUCUGCCUUGAACUUGCUUUUAGUAGAUUCUAUCGUGAACUCUUCAAGCAAGUCUUCAAUGUCGUAGGCCAAGUUCUCGAGAUCUUCAAGCCACGACUUCACGUCAUGAUAGCCAGUGAGUUGUUUGUCCUCUGCAUCAUUCAACACUUCAUUGAUACUCUUCAGCAUCUUCUCCCAUUUCUUAAAUAGCUUAUCAAUCCUCUCACGCUGCGCAAAUUUGGACAGCUCGUGAGAGGCCAACCUCUCGAACAGCACUUGAAGAAAGGCACCAAGAAAGAGCUCUGCGAUGGGCAUGGCUUGGUUUAUGAGUGGCAGAGAUUAAACAAGACUGCCCAGAAGAGUCGAAACAAAGGUAGAGGGCGAAGAGAAAACAAAAGUUAUUCGCUUCAGGACACCAGUAUCAAAUGAUGGUGUGAAGCAAAUGACUUUUCAAGCACUAGAGUGCAGCAAAUGACUUUUCAAGCACUAGAGUGCUCUUUCUUUCUUGGAAGAAGCUGUCGUUGCAUUUCAUCUCGUCUCAUUUGAUCUAAUUUCAUUUGCAUUUCAUCUCAGUCUCAUUUCCACCCCGACGGUUUUCUAUCGAGUCCCGUCAUUUCCCUGUACCACGCCCGGGCAGACCCCGGGGAAGGCGUCGUAGGGAUCAGGGAGGGGCCCCCUUUACCCCCGAGGGGUUGUGGCCGGGGUAACCCCAUGGGGCCGGAAUCUUUUUCGAGGCCCGGAUCCCGGCCUCUACCUGGACUUUCCCAGAGUGGUCAAAGCCUUUUAAGGUCAUGUUUAGGACCUGAUCUAAUUUCAUUUGUGGUGCCUCUAAUUUCAUUGAGCAACUUAGUCAGACAUGGGACCAAGUCUUGGCAUCAUUAAAGCCACCAGAGGCUCAGUAGGGAAAGAAGUGGGCCCGACUCCUACCCAACCUCGAAACUUCUGCUCUAUUAAUGUUCAUCAUUUCUAUCUCGCCACUCACUUCACCCAAUUCCCAAAUGCAACCAUCCAGUAUCCACCACCACCAUGCAUCACAUCGAUCACGCGGCAUCAUGGUUUCACUGAUGCAGCCUCAUGAACCCCGUCCCGUUAUCAAAUAAAGGAGCAGUUAUUACAUAAACUUAAUGUAUGUAAUUUGUAUCAUCAUUAACCACUAUUUCACGUAACACGAGAUCCCCCCAUACUGAAAGUCGCAAAAUUUUCAUUGUCGAUUGCUCAACGAGUGUCCACAAACACUUGAUAACAAAAUCAUUUUUAAAUGAUGAUGAGAAAGAAAAAAAUUGUUACUUUCUCUUCAAUUUUGUGGUUGUCACCUAAAUUUGCUCUCUCAGAUAUAUAUCGGAUUAGAUUAGAUGGAAAUAGCAGGUGGCUAUUAUCGAAUAAUUGCAGACUUCAAGCUUCAAUUUGUCCCCGCCAAUAAUGAUUAUAUUUAUAGCAAAGCUCCUUGUUUUAUUUGGUCCGCAAGGUCAACAAAAAACAUACUUAUUGUUUUGUCCCAAGAAGACAGGAGCUACCUAAUUUCAAUAUGCCCACCAGCCAUUCAAAAGGUGGAAUUAUAUACACACACACUUAUUCAUACCUUAUUACUAUAAUGUGCAUAAAUGUUGCAUUAGCGGUACAAAAUAGCUAAAUCCCAAGAUUGCAGUUUCUGCUAUGGCAUCACAUCAAAAUAAAUAAUCAAUGUGUCCACAGAUCUUUGUUGCCUCUAUGCCUAACAAAGAUCACAGGAAAGAUUGCCUUAUACUUUCUGGAAGUCUAACAGAAUAAUAGCCCCACGGGCCACGACAAAAGGGUAAGCAGAAGCAGACAGGAUUGAUUAACCAUGCGAUUGGCUUAAUGGUUACAUAAUUGACACAUAAGGGAGAAUUGAGUGUCUGUAUUAUUUGAAUUUCUCAAACAACUAGAUGCAAAUGAAUUGGUUGUCGAUUAGAUAUUUCAACCAAGUUUUAAUCCGCUUCUUACCUAACUUAUAAAAAUAGUAGGGUACUUUAUGAAUUUAGAAUUACCUGGGCAAGGUCGUUUUUUCGUUGUCAAGAGAAAAAACAUUUAUGCUAGCAAAAUACCUUUUCCUUUGGAAAGUUACUAAAGAUAAGUAUAGUUAAGGAUAACCUUUUGUGGCUUUCUCUGUGGAAGAUUGGGAACUGUUGAUGUUUAAUGCUCAAAUUUUUCUCGUUAGGAGAAGCUUCCUAAGAAUCUGGCCAUUGAAAUCACAUGGCAGCUUAUGAAGAACCAAUGGUCCUUUCUCCACUGUGAUAAGUCUUUUUGGGGGUAAAAGAGAGAGAGAAGAAAUUUUGACAAAUUUGUGAUGGUCUAAUGUACAAUCAUUGAUGAGGCCACGAGCAUCAUAGUUGAAAUAUACCUGACCAUAGAGGGCACACGGCGGCUUCUGAGGAGCUUCCUAAUUGGCAUUGCGCAUGGCACACUUCAAAACUUUGACUUAAUGGCCCUUUCCCUAUCAUUGUAAAUCUUUUCGAUAUAUAUUGUGACAAAUGAACAGAUGUUCUUUGUGAUUCACUGAUGAGGCCACGAGCAUUGUAGUUGAGAUACAUGCGCGUGGCAUUUGCCUGAUGCUGAAUAAUCCUCAAAGAGAGGGCCACAGUCGAGCAGGUAUACAUGAAAUCUUUUGAAAAGGACGGUGGGUAUUAAACAGGAUUCAAACUAGAAAUUAGCCAUCUCAAGUAAGCUAAUUAGCACAAUGAACCCAACAAAAAUAAAGAGAAACGAUGCAGGAUAAUGCUAGGAUAAUACCACUAGUUUACGAAAUUGGUAAAGUGACACAACAAAUUUUUAAUUACGGUAGAUAUGACUCACUUUAUUAAUUUCAGUUGUAGAUCAAUCAAGUAUUUUUAUAUCAUAUUUACAUUAUUAAAAGCGUGAAAUUAAAAUGAAAAAUGUAUAUUUGCAACCAUGUAUGAUUAAUGUGAAUCUGAAUAUGUGGGUUUAGAUUUUUUUUAUAUUUAUUAUCGUGAUUUUUUUUUUUUUUUUUGGUGCCAAGGAUUGCCAAGUACAUAAAAGUUUACAUUUUAUUUAGACAAUUACGUAAAAUUAAGGAAAAAAAGGUUGAAGGUGGGAGCAGCAAAAGACGAGAGCGGCAUUAGAAGACUACUUUCCCUCAUCUAUGGCCAAUGAAUGGUUCAACUAAUCCCUUUUUAACGUAUUAGCUUAGAAUCGGGCUUACAAAAUUUUCCUUCCGGUAGGUCUUCUAGGAUUUUCGUGCACUUCUUGUGGGGGAUGAGAUCCUUUAUCUCUGUUUGUAUGCUCGUGACUCCGUAAUUAAUAUCUCAUUCAUCGCAACCGUUAAUCCAUGUGAAUAGGGAUAAUCAUAAUACUUCAGUUUUAAUAUAUUUACAAUUGAGAUCAUCCGCGAUAGAGUUAUUAAGCGGCCAACACUUGUUGGUUGUUACCACACCGUCAAUUUUCUUAGCCCGGAAUCCUUCCACAAUCCAAAAUAGUUUUGCUUUUAUUUAUUAAUUUUUUCCUGCAAAUCGAUUGAAUCACUAUGACAUCAUAUCUUAAAAAAAUGCCCAAUAUGGAGGAUUGUGCUUUCAAAAUGACCCGAGGAGUGGACUAGUUUUGGUGUGUGAACACUUCUUUCAGAUACCACUUGAUUGCUAGGUGAAAAAGGAAAAAACAUAACAUUAAUUGUUCAUUGGUCUCGAAAUCAAAUAAUAAAAUUUCAAGGCGGCAAGGUCAAAUAAGAUAGGCUUAUGUUUUAUAAGGAGAAUAGUGUGAUUACCUAACUACAGUCCGUCUAGUACGAGCAUUUUGAUAUAGAGAAGAGAUUUUUCCAUUAAUUUAACCAUCGGUGAAUGUCCACUAUAAGUUUCCAACUAAAUUGAAGCAGAGGCCAUCCUUCUUGCUCACAACCUCAGAAAAGGAUCUGGAGCUCCCAAACAUCAUCAACGAAAACGAUUGCAAAGUUAGUCAUGGAUGCUUUGCUCUACCCUCUCGCCCCUUGUCCUUGGGAGAUUCGGCCCCAGGUCUAUGCUUUCCUCUAACUCCAGGAAAGGCCAAGAUCGAGUGUAACCUGGUCCUCCCAUUUCUCCAACAAAUAAUGUCUUCUUGGAUGGCUCUUUAGAUGAUCACCAAAUGACAUUACUAUUCUAACAAAAAAAGAAAAACAAAAACAAAACCGUGUAUUAAGACAUUUAUUUAAUUGAAGAAUUAUGCGAUGUUUCAAACUUCUCUUAAUUGUUGCAUAUGAUCCAUUUUUUUAAAUGUUCUUUUGCAGUUUGUUGUAUCACUUGAUAUAUCACCCUAGUUUAUCAUUCUUAACGUUAUCUAUCUUUUAAUCAUCCCUACAAAUGGAGAGCGCUGGCUAACCUUGACUGCCGAUCGAUCUAAUACUCUACUCUUUCAUUUUUUUUCCAUGGCUUAAGUAGUUUAUACAUUAAAAUAUUCAUCGCAUUCUUGACGUUGGUUAAUGCAUAGCAAAAUCUAUCAUCCUUCCAACACAAAAUUGUACAUGAGAAAAUUCAUAAGAUUUUCACUUCAAUCGAAUGCUAUUCUAUAAGGUAGUUUACAUUAGGAGUUCGGAAAGGUGGCUUGAUUAUAGAAACAUCAGUAAAUGCCAUAAUUCUUUCAAAGUUUCAAUAUUAAAUGUUAUAUCUUCAAAGUCUUUAUUAUUUCCUAAAAUUGUUAUACUUAAAUGGGGCAAGAUUAAAUGUGAUUCACAAUGGUGACUAAAUCUUUCAUUUUAUCCUUGUUUUCACCGGACAUUUUAUUCCUUACUUAGGUUGAUAAUAUUGGUAAUCUAAUAAAUCCAAAUCUCAACAAGAAAAUGCUAUUCGAGUUCAUGAUGAAUCAUACUCAAGAUUUGUUCAAGUCAGAUUGGUGAUGUGUCACGUGGAUAGUCGACGAUAACUGGACUGUCACAUUAGUAAAUUUAGGCUAAAAUUGACCGAAAUGACUAUAAUGAAAACUUUGGAAAUUCAUUAGGAAAAUUGAAAAAUUUAGGAUUACAUUGGAAUCUGUACAAUAGCCUUCUUUAAAACUAAAUCUGUAAUUUUUUCCUUUAAAACAGUUUUAGCAAAGUGGGCAUCAUAUAACAGUUACGACAAUGAUAUCGUUUUUAUCCUAAUUUUUUUGGAUGAGCUUUUGUAAAUUUAGGAUCAUCCUGGUCUUUCUCCGCCUCGCAUGUCCAUCUGUUGUUUUAUUUAAACACGAAUAAGGUCCACAAUCCACUACAGGUCUUUAGAGGACAAUAAUAUUUGCUUUUCCUUUUGCUUUAUAUUUCAAAAGUGACAUUUACAUCGUGAAGCAUUUCUAGCUAGAGACGUGGUGCGUUUCAAAUGGACAUGCGACAUUUGAUUGGACAAACUUUUGUGAAUUUAGGACCAUCUUAGUCUUUCCGCAUCUUUGCAUGUUCAUCCGUUGUUUUAUUCGGACACAAAGUAGUGAAAGUCUUUCUAAUAAGGUCCACCCUCCACUAUAAUGUCUGCUUUUCCUUUUUCUGUUUUUCCAAAGUGACUUUAAUGUCACGAAUCAUUUUACAGCUAAUAAAGUGGAAACGUUUUACAUGUAAGAGGGUAAUACUCCACCACAUGUCCAUAGAGGCACAUGUCCAUAGAGGACAGGACAAUAAUGCCUUCCCCUUUUGCUGUCUUCCCAAAGUAACUGGGGCCUUUCACAUGGCAAUGUGACGUUCGAUGGAACGUGAAUAAGAAAAAGUAACUGUACUAACAAGGUCCAUCCUCCUACACAGGUCCUCAUAGGACAAUAUGCCACCUUCUGCUUUUGCUUUUUGCAAUAGUGACAAUGUAUGAUUGGACACGAAGAAGUUGAGUACAACCACGAUGUAUUUCAAUCAAAAUAACCACAACUUGUCGUUCAAAGGAACUGCCAUUAGGGUGCUCGUUAAUUAAUUAAUAAAAGUCUUAUUGUACUGAUUUUACCCCAGAAUAUGUAGGACCAGCUUGUUGGAAAUGGAUAUCUCAUUUUUAAGUAAAUUGAAAAAUAUACAUGGAUCUAAUAAUUGCCCUAGCUUUCGAAACAAUUGGAAUUUGACCCGUGCAAUUGUGUAGAAUUGAUUAAAAUUUACACUUCAACACUUACAUUUUGCUUUUUAUAAAAAAAUUUAUUAUUGUAGAAAAUAGCAUUUGCAAAAUAUAUUAUAAAUGUCAUGGUUACUUAGUUAAUACAAGAUAGAUAAAAUAAAUAAAUAAAAACAUGGCAAUACAAGGAAAUACAUAUAAGUCAAACUAAAAAUAUAUGUCAUUACAUUUAUCUUGAUUUUUGUUGCAAAAGAACAAAUGAAUAAUAACAAUAAAGAAGACAGAAAAGUAAAUUGGAAAUUGGAUUUAUGUAGGUCAAUAAUCCAAUUUGUGGGGAGAGUAGCAUUAAAUUUCACUAUAGAUCAAGUCAUGUUAUGAAAGUUAUAACAACACUUGAGAUAUUCAAAUACUCUCAAGUUUUUCAAUCCCCAAUUAUAUCAAAUAACUCACACAGUAUUUGCCUGCACAAUUUCUUGCGAAACAAUUACUAAAUCUCACUAAGGAAUUAUAGAAGCUUGACCAACAUUUUUAUAGCUAUCAAACACUCAGUGAUUAAUUCUCUCUGAAUAUAAGUAACGAACUUAUGCACAGCCUUGCAUGUUGAAGUUGAAGUAUUCACUGAACUUGUACGAAAAAGCACUCCACAAACAGCAUUAGGGGGGGGGGGGGGGGGGGGGGAAGGCCCCCGUGGGAGUGGCAAGUAUGGUCGUUACAAAUGAAGUUGAAGUAUUCACUACUUACUCAUAGGUCAUGACCCGAGCUACUUUGUAGGAGCCCAAAAAAAGACGUGGCAUUUGGUAACAAUGCAAUUAGUAAUUCUAAUUUCAUUUUGGCAUGACGUUUCUCGUGAUCUUCACUUUGGGACAAUGAUUUUGUAAUUCUAAUUAACAUGUUGCCUUCUAUCGUUCCCCCACUCAUACCAUUACCACGGAAGAGGCAUUGACCUGCUCUAUGACCUGAGGCUUGCAGGUCCAGCCUGCCUCCUUAAAACACAGUACCAACAAGUCCAUAUUCAGACCUACAUUGCUUAGAUUUAUAACUAACUUUCUAAGGCUCUGAAGUAGGAUGAAUAAGUACUCUCUUAUCAUUAUUAUGCUUUAUCAAAUAUUACAUGAUGACACAAAAUUUAUUCAAUCUGAAAUGACUCGAAGCAUUCAACAUAGAGGUAAAACUCCCCAUAAAAAGAUUUUAGGUGGUGAAUUUUUUGAGUGGGUUUCAACUUAGUUUUUAAGUUCUUUUCUACUUUAUGUGCGAUUUGGAGUUUCACAAACUCUCCCACUUAUAAUGCUAGUGUCCUCAUAAUUGUCAACUCAUAUUGGGCAGUGAUAUAUCCUAUUCUACCGAGAGUUGUACUUUUUCAAGCUCACACAUUAUGGCCAUCAUUCACCGCUUUGUUGGAUUAGUCAUCCAGUCCAUUCCCAAAUCAUACAUCUACAACAAAGAAUCUUGCUAAGAUUCAUUGUGACACGACGCGUUUAUUGUUCAUGUCCAUUGCAUGGAUUAGCCUAUGCUGACAGGCUUGAGUUAAACUAUUUAUUACUAUCAUGGGAAUAAAAAAAGAAGAAAGGUUUGGUCUAGAAGUGACCAUAAGAAUUGAGAUCAUAUUCCCAAAUCACAUAUGGCUUUAUUUGGACAGGAAUAAGGUCCUCAGUCCACCACAAGUCCUUGGAGGAUAAUAACGCCCGCUUCUCCUUUUGCUUUUCUUCUAGAGUAACCCUAAUGCCGUGAAUCAUUUGCAUCUCCAAACGUGGCACGUUUCACAUUGCUAUGCUUCGUUUGAUUGGAUGAACUUUUGUGAAAUUAGGACCAUCUUGGUCUUUCCACAUCUUGCGUGUCCAUUUGUUGUUUUAUUCGGACAUGAAGCAUCAAAGACUCAAUUAUAAGGUCCCCUUGUGUAGAAUUGAUCCCUUACACAAGCACGACAUAAUGUGGAUGUAAUUGCAUCAAUGGAAUAACUGGGGGAAUGAUGACUAACAACAUAACAGACAAGGAAUUUUGAACCACCGACAUGUGCUUUAAUACAAUGCUAGAAAUGAACAAGUAGAAUGCGGACAAUUUGUUGGAACUAUAACAAAACAAGUAGAAUGCGGACAAUUUGCUAAUACUUCAGAAGAGAUUCUUCUCAGAUUCUGAUUAUACCCAUGAUAAUUACCCGCCUCCUAAACAGCCAGUCAAGAAAUAGCAGAAACAAAUCUACUCACCCUGACUUUGCCAGCUAGCAACGCCAAAGUCCAGGGCUAUGCACUUUUGAUUCCAUGAAGCAGAAUAUGAAAAGUCAUCAAAAUGAACAAAGGGCAAAGAUUUCAUUGAGUGCUAUCCAGUCCACGAAAUGCCUUCAUUGCCGGAAUGGAAGGGUUGAAGCGCAAUAAAUCCAUUUCCCCCAUAGAUUUCAAUGUGUAUCACAGUAUGCUCAGAAAUUAGAAGAUUGUGAGUGUGGGAAUAAGUACUUUGCAUCGGUAAAUGCAGAAAGAAAGUUAAUACCAAGUUCAUUCCACUUCUGGUGAAUGCUGCAAAAGUUAUUUUUGCAUGUCAGAAUUAGAGAAAUAAGGGAAAUUAGUCAGGUAAAUUCCACUACUUAGUAAAUGUGUUCAAAUGGAGGUUCCAGACUAAAACAGGAAAGAGGAUUUAAAGCAUCUAACUGCCAUUCACAUGACAAGAACUUGUUUUAUCCAUCUGAAGUUCUGAGCUACACUUUUUCAAGGAGAUGAAACUUUCAAACAUUUUCAAACUUGUCUUUCAUAUUGAUUAUGUCCAGAAUUUAGAUUCAUCCAGUGGAUUGAACAUCAGGAUAAAACAGACACUUACUAAACAGGAAAGAUAACAUAUAUACAUACCUAUCCCUGUGAGUAAUUUGAGAACCAACUAAUCAUGAAAAAGUCCAGAUCUUAAGAACAGAGUUUGCAGUAGCAUGUCCCUUCUUCUCUACAACAAGGAGCAAUCUCACAUCCAAGGUCCCCUUCAGCAUCUUCUCCUAGGCUAAAUACCGGUGAGGCAAUGGUGAAGGAAAGGGUAUAUAGACCUUUCUAUAGGUCACUGGGUCGUACCAACAAACUUCACCCAUGGAAUUCCAAUGUAAUCUGAAAGGGAAGCAAGAUUUAGAGAUUUGAUGAAUGAGAGAGAGCACAGUGAUGACAAAAGAAUUGGUUGAGGAGUAAGAGAACUGCUAGAAUGCAAAAAUAAGCUGAGAAUUCCAAAUUCAAAUGCAACAGUCUGUUAAUAAGAUCCCAGAUUUUUAUUUCAUUUUUGCUGGAUCGAAGAUAUCAUGGGAAGCAGCCCAAUGGAUAGGGGAACCAAUGCAGAAUCUGAGAAGGGAAGUGACUAUGAGUAGAAGAGUAGAGGAGUAGUAAAUAACAAGAUCAAUACCUUGAUUUUAAUUAAAUCUUCAUGAGAUGGAGACGGUGAUGGAGGUGAGGACAACGGACUGGAGAGGCAAAGCAUAGGUAGGUGAUUGAGGUGUAGACCACAUGGGGAAGGAGAUGAUGAAAGAGAUAUUUUUUACACCCCUAAGUUACGCCCAAAAGCUAUCUGCAAAAAAUUAAGACACACUUAUUAAGUACACAUAUAAUUUAAGAUUGCAAUUAGGGAAUUAUCUCAGUACAAGUUUUACUUUUAGGUCCAAAUUUUAUAACUACGAAAGUUUUAAUGCAACCACUCAUAAGAGUAACAUCAUUUCGACCGAGGUGUGAUUGUAAAUCUAUUCCCAAGAGCUGCCGUAAACAAGUCCAUCCUUCACAUGGCUGAAAUGGAGCGGUUAUAAGUCUUGGACAUGUCAUGUAUAUAUAUCCAAGACAAAGCGAACUUAAAUAACAUUCGCCUCACCAGAAGUUGUCUGCUGUGAUACCAAUCAGCUUUUCACUCAGAGAUGAUAAUUUACUUGCAGAUUGCUUGAAUACAGUAACCUGCAAAUGCAAAAAGAAACCUAGCUAUGAAUUCUGAACAUCUAUCCCGAGUCUUCAUCAAAGGGGAAGGAAUAACAUAUCCUAGAAGUACAAUGAUGCAUAAGACAAUCAAUUCCUCGAACCAUAAGCAGUUAAAUCACAAUGCUCAAUCAUAUAUUUUGAAGCUAGAGACUUCGCCCAUCCAUUGGCAGGGAUUUAUAAUUAUCGAAAGUGAGAGGGCUCAAGGCAAAGUGAGAACUUUUUCAUAGGAAGUACUAAUUCUAUCAAUUAAUGACAAUCUACAUAUGUUUUGAAUAAUCAUAAGACUGGAAGAUUCCAAGUCACGUAGCCGUAAUUGAUUAACAUCUAUUACUCUGCAUAUAUACUCUAAGUUCACAAAAGUCCAUAGAAUGUGUAUAAGACUCCCUCAACAACGACCAUCUUCUAUAUGGGAUCCAAAAAUAGUAUGUAGAGAUUGACAGUGAUUUAAAAGACCUUGUUUUGUUCUGCCUGGUCCUUUGACUAUGAUGAGUAUAAAACAAGAUGCCAAACAUAUGCAGACACGCCUUCAGGAAAUUUGAUCACUGAUAAAAAGGAACAGAUGAAGGUUCCAAUACAUUGACAGCCACAUCACCUCCAGGCUUUAAAAGCCAAAAACAUGUAAAUAUCUGCAUCGCUCAAAUCUUGGAUGGUGAGUAAACUGCCGGAAUGGAAGGGUUGAGGCGCAAUAAAUCUGUUUCCCACAUAGAUCUUGAUGUGCAUCACAGUAUGCUCAGAAAUAAAGAUCACAUGUGUGGGAAUAAGUAUGUUGUCUUUGUAAAUGCAGACUGAAAGUUAAUAC
This 15898-nucleotide long non-coding RNA is filed under the name Eucalyptus grandis. RNAcentral's name for it is "long non-coding RNA (EGRA_LNC000765)". The record is from RNAcentral. Lineage: Eukaryota; Viridiplantae; Streptophyta; Magnoliopsida; Myrtales; Myrtaceae.